This 258-nucleotide unclassified non-coding RNA is filed under the name rhizosphere metagenome. RNAcentral describes it as "partial ribosomal RNA internal transcribed spacer region". The record is from RNAcentral.
GUAGGUGAACCUGCGGAAGGAUCACUAGUGAUUAAACUGAGGUCGUACUAGGCUUAAAAACCCUAAGACGUCUCAACCCUUCACAUCCACAUACACCUGUGCACUGUUAUGGUUGUAGAUUGUCAAGUGGUGUCUUUCGGAAACGAAAGAUUAUCUUGAUGAACUCGCCAUCAUUUUUAUACAAAAACUCAAGUCUUAUGAAUGUAAACGUUUUAUAAUAAACUAAUAAAACUUUCAACAACGGAUCUCUUGGCUCUC